Molecule: long non-coding RNA, 433 nt
Organism: Heterocephalus glaber (naked mole-rat)
Lineage: Eukaryota; Metazoa; Chordata; Mammalia; Rodentia; Bathyergidae
Source: RefSeq, a predicted model, not a curated record
CUGCUACUUUACUUCACCAAGUGAUGAUGCUGGUCCCUCAGUGUUGGACUCCCCAUCCUCCAGAACUAUGAAGAAAUUGAAAUUACAGUGGAAAGCAAUACAAAACACAGAGACCCAAUAGUUAUUUUCAGCUCAUACUACCAUAAUUAUCUAAGUUCUAACUGGAAGACAAUUUCCAAAGUAACACGAAACUUGCUCAUCAAGUCUUGACAGAGAUUCAUGACCACAGAGCAGCAUCCGGCAUAGGACCUCCCUUUAGUUUGGUGGUACCAUGGGCUUCGGAAAUGCUUCCGUCAUCUGGAGGCUCUGCUGCAGAUCCAGGGCAAACCCUGCCCACAUUCUGCACUGCCGACCUCUGUGCUGCUCAGCGAUGCACAACUCUCAAACCCCGUGAGGUUGAACCUGGCAGACAAUAAAGUCAGAAUGAUUUCCA